Non-coding RNA from Macaca mulatta (Rhesus monkey), 1052 nucleotides. The record is from RefSeq and is a predicted model, not a curated record. NCBI's taxonomy places the organism in Eukaryota, Metazoa, Chordata, Mammalia, Primates, Cercopithecidae.
UUUUGUUUUUUAAUAUUAAACUUGUCAAUAGUUUUCCAGUGAUGGCCUUCCCUAGCUUUGUUUCUUUAAAAAUAUUUUCUCAAGUAUCUCUGCACACAUAUUUCUUUUCCCCCAAACUAGCACCCUUAUGUCCUUAGCACCUAGCUUAGUGUCUGCCAUAUUCCAGGUGCCUAAUGAACAUUUGUGGGAUGGCUAAAUGAAGGAAUUAAUGUAUAAAUACAUGAAAGCAACUUUCACAGUGUUUCCAGCUUCUCCUUCCCCUUCUUAGCCAUCAGUGAAAUAAAACAUAUAAAUGAGGAUCAAUUAAGUUAGCUUCAACUAGCACGUACAAGAAAAGCAAGGCAAAACUCUAAACAGUAAUAUGAAAGAAAAAAAAGAUCAUUAGGAAGGCACCUAAUAAUGAAAAUGAGGUCCCAUCUAACAUUAAGCUCUCCUAUGCCUAGCCCAGAUUUCUGGAUAGGGGCCCCACUGCCCCUUCUUAGAGAGCCCUGCUCUCCUAUCUUCUGGAGAAGCAGGUUGGGGAGUGAGCAUGGGAGUUUACUCUAGAACUUGGAUUGAAGGAGUAUGGUCCCUCUCAUCUCUACCCAGGGGCCCUACAACUGGCAGAGUCAGCCCCAGGGGUGAAUGUGUCUUCCGUUCAGUAUGCACAUGGGUACAUUGAUGAGGGGCAUCUGACAGGCUGGAGGCCCUUCGACCUUUAACCAAAACUAUGACUGCAGCAAACUGCUAUUGACUUCAUUCACUGGAGAGCUUGCCCAGAGACUUCCAGGAACAGUAUUUCUUUCCUGCUGGUGUUUUCAAUACCAGCAUCAUCCAUCGUGUUCCUCCUGCAGUUCACCCAACACUUCCAAUACCUAUUCUUCCUUACUGGCUUGGAUACCAUUAAGGAGAUGGAAGACAUUUCUACUAAAAUUAUAGAUGCAUUUAUUAUUUGACCAAGAUGUAUCCUACAGAUAUGCCUGCUCACAUAUGGAAUGUCAUUAUGUUCAAAGUGAUUCACUGCAACAUUGUAAUACUAAAAGACUGGAAAUAAAGUAUGUAACUAGAAGAAA